RNAcentral lists this non-coding RNA (744 nucleotides) under Deielia phaon. Lineage: Eukaryota; Metazoa; Arthropoda; Insecta; Odonata; Libellulidae. The record is from RNAcentral.
UUAAAGUUUUAUUCUUGCUAGAAUAUUUAUUUUAUGAUUGUACUAUAUACUAAUAUUUAUUUAGAAAACAUGAUUGUAGUGGUAAGUAUUAUUUUUUGAGGUAACUCAGAUAUAGCAAUUCAUAAAUUUCUGGUUAAAGUCGUGCCAGCCACCGCGGUUAUACGUAAGGAAAAAUUAAAUAUUAUUGGUUUAACAGUUAAAUUUGAUUAUCUUUUAAAUUUAAUAUUUUUAGGUGAAAUUUUAAUUUUAUUAUAAAAGGAAGAAUUGAAGCUGUGAAAUUUAUUUUAUAAACAAGGAUUAGAUACCCUUUUAUUUUAAAUGUAAAUUAUAAUUAGGGUAGUAAUAGUUAUGUUCUUGAAACCCAAAGAAUUUGGCGGUAUUUUAUUCUUUUUAGAGGAACCUGUCCUGUAAUUGAUAAUCCACGAUAGGUAAUUACUUAUUCUUGUAUUCAUUUUGUAUACCUCCGUCAUCAGAUUAUAUUUUCAGAUUUAAUAUUCUUUUAAUACAAAAUAUUAUAUGUCAGGUCAAGGUGCAAUUUAUGGGUAAGUAGAGAUGGGUUACAAUAAAUUUAUUUAUACGGAUUAAUUUUGUUAAUAAAGUUAUGAAGGUGGAUUUAAAUGUAAAAUUAUUCCUUUAAUAAUUUGAUCUUAGCUCUAAAAUAUGCACACAUCGCCCGUCGCUCUUAUUUUAAAAUAAGAUAAGUCGUAACAUAGUAGGAGUACCGGAAGGUGUUCCUAGUAAGGU